Molecule: ribosomal RNA, 220 nt
Filed under: uncultured bacterium
Lineage: Bacteria
Description: partial 16S ribosomal RNA
Rfam family: Bacterial small subunit ribosomal RNA
Source: RNAcentral
UAAUGUAUCGGAACGUGCCCAGUCUGGGGGAGUAACUGCUCGAAAGAGCAGCUAAUACCGCAUACGACCUGAGGGUGAAAGCGGGGGAUCGCAAGACCUCGCGCGAUUGGAGCGGCCGAUAUCAGAUUAGGUAGUUGGUGAGGUAAGGGCUCACCAAGCCGACGAUCUGUAGCUGGUCUGAGAGGACGACCAGCCACACUGGGACUGAGACACGGCCCAG